GGCUCAUUGGCGAUGUGGUCAGCGCGCUAGACUUUUAGUGGGGAGUCUGGGGUUCGAUUCCCCGCCCGGGUA
Molecule: non-coding RNA, 72 nt
Organism: Gymnothorax javanicus (giant moray)
Lineage: Eukaryota; Metazoa; Chordata; Actinopteri; Anguilliformes; Muraenidae
Source: the annotation of a GenBank genome assembly